AAGUCGUAACAAGGUCUCCGUUGGUGAACCAGCGGAGGGAUCAUUACCGAGUACUAUAACUCAUAACCCUUUGUGAACCUUCAUACCUGUUGCUUCGGCGGCGCGCCUCUAGGGGCGUGCCCGCCGGCAUUAUCAGAAUCUCUGUUCGAACCCGACGAUACUUCUGAGUGUUCUAAGCGAACUGUUAAAACUUUCAACAACGGAUCUCUUGGCUCCA
Molecule: unclassified non-coding RNA, 217 nt
Rfam family: Eukaryotic small subunit ribosomal RNA (bases 1-46)